RNAcentral lists this ribosomal RNA (288 nucleotides) under uncultured bacterium. RNAcentral describes it as "partial 16S ribosomal RNA". It matches the Rfam family "Bacterial small subunit ribosomal RNA", at positions 773 to 1060 of the family's 1533-position model. The record is from RNAcentral.
GUGGAUUAGAUACCCUGGUAGUCCACACUGUAAACGAUGAAUGCUAGGUGUAGGAGGUAUCGACCCCUUCUGUGCCGCAGUUAACACAAUAAGCAUUCCGCCUGGGGAGUACGGCCGCAAGGUUGAAACUCAAAGGAAUUGACGGGGGCCCGCACAAGCAGCGGAGCAUGUGGUUUAAUUCGACGCAACGCGAAGAACCUUACCAGGUCUUGACAUCCAGUAAAUCCUGUAGAGAUACAGAGUGAGCUUGCUCAUGCUGAGACAGGUGGUGCACGGCUGUCGUCAGCU